GUGACCACACCCCUGCAGGUCAGACCUUUCAGGGGCCUCCUGAGCCCAUGCAUCAGGGAAAGGAGCCAGUUCUCCCCUGUGUUGCUGUGCUACUCUUCUAAAUCUAAACCAGGACUUCAGGUCAUUGGGCAGGUUUCUUUGCGAAGGACCACAGGCUCAGGUACAUUCAACACUGCCAGGUUGGAUACAAGGAUAACAGGAUGUUUUGUGUGCCACAGGAGCCCCUCUGACAUUAAGUUACACAGAAGCCAACACUGAAGCAGGGAUUUGAGGACAAGUAUAUUGGGAAUGAGAGACUGAGAAUGGGAAAAAGCCAGUAAAGGAUGUGGUAUUAAACAAGUUACUCUAUGAGCAACUGAAACUCGGUCCUGCUGGGAACGUUGGGAGAAUGCAUAAAACAUACACCUCAGAGAGCGAUGGAGCAGGGUGCAUACCCACCAUCUCCUGUCAGCCUUUGGCUGGGGGACACCUGGGAACAUUAAUCCCCUAAAGUCUCUGGUCUACCCCAUGCACAGACAGAGCCGGUCAGGUGGCUGAAGAAAGUCUCUCAGCUGCUGGGAGUUAAGCUAGUGAACAAGGCAGUGAUAAGCUGAGAAGGUCCAAGCGAGUACCAACACAUCAGCUCUAGUGACUGAUGACUCCCAUGUUGACAAAUCCAACAAGUGCUUGUUACUUUAUCCUUGUCUCCCUCAACCUCCUAGCUGAGCUCACUCUAGCCAGCUCAGAGCAUCUGCAAGCCUCUGGCUUUCAACCAUGGGAGGUGUUGCCCCCACCCCAGGAGACAUUUGGCAAUGUCUGGAGACAUUUUUGGUUGCCAAAGUGGGGAGAGAGUACUACUGGCAUUGGUGAUUAGAUGCUAGGGAUGCUGCUAAACACCCUCCAUCUCCCUCAAAAGAAUUAUCCAGCCCAAAAUGUCAACAGUGCCUAAGUUGAAAACUCUGGCUCCCGUCUCUCUACUGAUCUCUCUACUCCAGUCUCAUCCUGUGCAAUGCUCCCUCCUAUGUCAGUCAGAGCCCAGCUGGGAUGAGGGUGAAGCACACAGGACAUGGAGGGCACAAAAAAUAUGAGAAGCUAUUAGGCUAUUUUGCAAUUAAACAAUGCCUGCAGGAUGCUGUAUGUUGCUUGAUUUUCGUAAGUCAUGCAGUAGUGGUUAUGAAAAUGUAAAAGUAAACAGAACUAUUUUUGAAUAAUAUAAUUUUCUAUAACAAUCUGGAAGGCUUUACUGUGGUAAUGCCUAAUCUGUUUCACUGCCGUUCUAGGUACUGUUGUUCUUUGGAAACCUCCAUUUAAGAAGCACUAUCAUAACUUUAGAACCUCACGACAUUGAAGUGGAAGGGGUCUGUCAUGGACUAAAUUGUGUCCCCCAAAAUUCAUAUGUUGAAGCCCUAACCCCCAGUCUCACUGUAUUUGGAGACUGGGCCCAUAAGCAGCUAAUUAAAGUUAAAUGAGGUCCGAAAGGUGGGACCCUAAUCUGAUGGGACUGGUACUCUUAUAAAAGGAGGAAGAUAUACAGGAUCUCUCUCUCUCUCUCUCUUUCUCUCUCUCCCUCCCUCCCUCCUCACCAUGUGAUGACACAGUGAAAAAGUGGCCCAUCUGAAAGCCAGGAAACAAGCCCUCACCCUCACCAGGAACCAACCAUGCUGGGACAUGUAGCCUUAAGAACUGUGAGAAAAGAAAAUUACAUGUUUAAGCCACCUGUCUAUAAUAUUUUAUCAUGGCAGCCCAAGCAGACUAAGGCAGAGUCUCAUGGGUCCUGCAGCCAAACUCUCACAGUUUGCCCAUGAAGCAACUGCUCCAGGACACUACUUGACUUUCUCAGGGCUGCAUGGUGACUGCUUGGUAAAUACAUGGUUCAUAGUUACUUCCCACUGCUACACACCUGAUUCUACCAUCCCCAUCCCAAGUUGAGUGCUGGUAUAGAGAAAGGCCACACAACCCACUGACAAGGACAGUCCAAACCAUCACAGUGGGGCAGCAGAGAGGGGUGUAGGGUGGCCUCUAGAGCUUCUCUAAGACCUUGUCAGGAUGAUGUCUAAGCCAUAAUUGUCUUUCUUGCAAAUCUAACACUGGGUUCUGCAGAUCAAGGAUCAAGAAAGAAUGUGAACGGGCAGAGGUAGUCGGGAGCCUUGGGUAUGGUGUGUCCUGCACUGCUCCAUGCUCUUGGUUGUCUGUGAUGUGAGACGCAUGGGGGCAGAGCCAGGAGGGCAGUAUGAGACGACCCAGAGGGACACUGGAGCUUCCUGAAGCACAGACAGGAUACUCCCUGGCCCAGGCGGCAGCACUGCAUCACACCCCCAUGGGUAGGUGCCGGUGGCCUCUACUGGUACCUACCCCACGUCUGUCCAGCAGCCACUGAGAUGAUGACUCUGCGCUGCUUUGCACCUGAGCUGACUCCCUUCUGUCAGCUUUCACGUGGAGGUGUAAAGAAAAAUCACAUUUUGCCUAUCCUAAUGCCUAGACCUUAAAAAUCCCUUGGCAAAUCAUAGAAAUUCCAAUUGUUUGCUUUCAACACAAUUGAAAGAAAGCACAAGGGUAUUAUCAGCUUAUAGAUCAUUAGAAAUUCUGUGGGAUUUUUGACACAGAAGUUUAAAAGAGUUGAAAUAAUUAAAUAACAUUACUUGAAAAACACUUCUCAGUUCCAACUAGUUAAUUAUGUGAACAGUUUCUCAGGGCUUACUUCCAUAAUGAAGAAAAAUAAACAUUUAAAACAUAGGUAAUAUUUAACCAUUGAUAGAUGAACAGAUAGGAAAAAAACAGCUCAAACCUGUGUAUCUCAUUAAGAAAUACAUAUUCGUCCAGGCACGGUGGCUCACGCCUGUAAUCCCAACACUUUCGGAGGCCGAAGCAGGUGAAUCAUGAGGUAAGGAGUUUGAAACCAGCCUGGCCAAUAUGGUGAAACCCCAUCUCUACUAAAAAAUACAAAAAUUAGCUGGGCUUGGUGGUGCAUGCCUGUAAUCCCAGCUACUUGGGAGGCUGAGGCAGGAGAAUCGCUUGAACCUGGGAAGCAGAGGUUGCAGUGAGCCAAGAUCACACCACUGCAUUCCAGCCUGGGCAAGAGAGACUCCAUCUCAAAAAAAAAAAAAAGGAAGAAAUACAUUUUCACUAAUAUUUUAAUGUUUUGGGCUUAAUAAAUAUUUAACAAAAGGAAUACAUUUAUGAAUGAAUGUUGAAAAAAAUUGAAAAAAUUCAAUACCUAUUCAUGAUUUUUUAAAAAAUUCUCAGAAAAACAGGCAUUGAGGGAAAACCUCUCAACUUGAGAGAGAAUCUAAAAAGUUUACAGCUAACAUAGUUAACAGUGGAAGACUGGAAGCUUUUCCUCUCAAAUGUGGAACAAGGUAUACAUGUCAGCUCUCUCUACUCUUAGUCAUAACAACACUGGACAUCCUAGCUCUAAGGCAACAAAAUAGAAUUAGAAAGCACACCAAUCAGAAAGGAAGAAAUAAAACUGUCUCUAUUUGCAAGUGACAUGAUCAUCUACACAGAAAACACCAAAGAAGCUACACAAAACUUCUACACUAAUGAGUUCAGCAAAGCCACAGGAUGUAAGAUAAACAUUCAAAAAUCCAUUGCUUUUAUAUACUAACAAAGAACACAUAGAAACUAAAAUUAAUUAUGUAAUGCCAUUUACAAUCACGCAAAAAUAAAAGAAACACUUAGAUGUAAUAAAACAUGUCUAGUACUAAUAUGCUAAAAACUACAAAAUGCUGAUGAAAGAAAUAAAAGAUCUAAAUAAAUGGAGGGAUAUACUGCAUUCAUGGAUUGGAGGACUCUACAUAGUAAAGAUAUCACUUCCCCCCAAAUUCAUGUACAGUUGUAAUGCAUUUCCUAUCAAAAUCCCAGAAAAUAUUUUUUAUUAAACAGACAAGAUUAUUUUAAAAUUUAUGUGGAACAGCACAGGCCCUAGAAUAGCAAAAACUAUUCUGGAAAGAAUUAAGUGGGAGGACUCACUCUAUCUGAUAUUAAUUCCUACUAUAUACUAUGGUAAUCAAGAACAUGUGGUAUGGGCAGAGGGAUAGACAGAUCAGUGGAGCAGAAAAGGGAAUUUAUAAAUAGACUCACACAAAUAUGCGCAACUGAUUUUUGACAAAGUUGCAAAAACAAUUCAGUGGAGAGGAAUAGCCCUUCCAACAAAUGAUGCAAGAGCAAUUGAAUAGCCAUCAGCAAGAAAAAGACCUCAACUUUAAUCUUAUACAAAAAUUAACUCAAAAUAUAGCAUAGACUUAAACAUACAGCUUUCAUAGAAAAACAGGAGAAAAUUUUAGUAAUCUAGCACUAGGCAAAGUGUUGUUAAACCUGACACUAAUAGCACUAUCCAUUAAAAGAGAAAGUGCUAAAUUAGACUUAAUCGAAAUUUAAAACUUUUGCUCUGCAAAACAGCCUCAGAGAAUUAAGUGUCAAGCUACAGGCUGCAAGAAAACAUACGGAAACCACAUUUCUGACAAAGAAUUGGUAUCUAGUAUAUCUAAAGAACUCUCAAAACGCAAAAGUAAAAGCCAAAUAAUCAAUUUGAAAGUGUGUAAAAAAUAUGAACAGACAUUUUACCAGAGAGGACAUAAAUAUGUCAAACAUGAAAGGAUGCCCAAUAUCUUUAGCUAUUAGAAAAUCCAAAUUAAAAUCACUAUAUGAUAUCAUUACACAUUAUUACAACAGCCAAAAUACACAUUAGUAAUAACACGAAAUUCUGGUGAGGUUAUGGAGAAACUAGAUCUCUUACACAUUGCUGAUAGGAAUGUAAAGUAGUACAGUCACUCUGGAAAAGGGCCUGGAAAUUUCUUGCAAACCUAAACAUGCAACUAUUACGUUUUGUGUGCUGUUACAGCCCAACAGUUGCACUCCUGGGCAAUCUCAGAGCAAUGAAAGUUUGUGUGCACACAAAAACCUCUACAUAAAUGUUCACAGCAACUGUAUUUUUAAGCCAAAAACUGGAAACAAUUGGGGUGCCCUUAAGUGGGUGAGUCGUUAAAUACACAGUUAUAUUCAUGACAGGGAAUACCAGCUAGCAGUAACAAGGAAUGAACUGCUGAGACUCACAACUUGAAUGAAUCUCCAGAGAAUUAUGCAGAGUGAUAAAAGCCAAUUUCAGAAGGUUGCAUAUUGUAUGAUUCCAUUUAUAUAACACUCUUAAAAUGACAAAAUCAUCAAAUGGAGAACAAAUUAAUAGUUUAUCAAAAUGGAGAACAAAUUAGUAGUUUAUCAAAACAGAGAACAAAUUAGUUGUUGCCAAGAGUUAAAGGAGUGAAAGAGCAAGUUGGUUGUGAAAAUAUUAAUAAAAGGGGAACCUGAGAGGUACUCGUGUUGAUUAAAAUGUUCUGUAUCUUGUCCAUAUCAAUGUCAAUAUCCUGGCUGUGCUACUGUACUUAAUUUUGUAAAAUGUUACUUUUGGGGGAAACUGUUAAAGGGGCACAAAGGAACUCUUUGUAUUAAUACAAUGGUACGUGAACAUCAAAUUACCUC
RNAcentral lists this long non-coding RNA (5454 nucleotides) under Homo sapiens (human). RNAcentral's name for it is "HSALNT0122190". Lineage: Eukaryota; Metazoa; Chordata; Mammalia; Primates; Hominidae. The record is from RNAcentral.